CCUGCCUUGCAGCUCUCGCGGUGCACUGAUUUUGUGGCUAGGAGGAGACGUUUAGUAGAAAGCACACAGGACCUGGAGCCAUGUGGAAUCUGUGGUCUACACCGCUCCCUUUUUCAUACCGAUUCACUGGAAAGAGUAAGAUAAACUGCAAAAUCAUUUUUAAGCCAGUCCUCCCCAGGCUACGAAGGAUCGCUGGCUAUUCCAGACGGGGUCACUGGUGUUAUCCAGGAGAAGAACAAGAGCUGAGGCACUGGAUUUCAUCCUGCUCUAAGCUCCCGCAUCAUUCCCAGCCACCGGUAGAGCUGAAACGCUCUUUCAAGAGCAAGCAACAAGAUAGAUGCUGCCCCGCCAUGCAAUGUGAGCUUGUGGUUUUGUUUGAUAGCCCAGACCUUUAGCAGCCGUAUUCCCUGAAAUGAGACUUUGCUUUUAGCAUUGACUUUUUUGUUUUACGCAGCCCUUGCAUUAUCUUCUCAGAUUUGCGCAUCCUGCCAAGUGCUGGGGGCUUGCACCUUAUUAAUAACCCAGGAGAUUCGCUCCUCGCUAAGUUCUAAUAAAUUCCCUUCACUUCUGCAGCAUCCUUUGUUCUGGAGGCGUCCUAGGGCUUUGUACACAGCUGGGCCAAACUGAUACCAGGUUUUACUGAGCUACUGCCCCCUCCCCUUGCUCACCAGCGAUGCCAGCCUUGGCUGUAGGUUCCUCCCCAGCACGGAUGCCUUUAGGCUCUCUGAUGCUAUCUUGUUUCCUCCUUUCAUCCUACCCUUGCUACACUACUCUCAGAUCACUCCUCUCUGCCACUGGAUGGGCAAGUGGUGAGCUCUGACUCCUGUUGUGCUACGAAACUACUUGUUUUGUUACUUCCUCCUCACCAUGCUCAUCCAUGUUGCUCUCCCCUUGCUUCCUGCCCGCCACCUAGGCUGGCAGCACUCCAAGGAAGGAGUCAUGUCCUGCGGGAACUCCAUAGAGCACCUGGCACAGCAUCUCCCUAAUCCCCGAGUAGGGCGUCUAGCCAUCACCAGAAUGCAAACCGCAUACACGAACGACUAACAAAAUUACUGGGAGACUUGGCUACAGGUGAUAUAAAUCACAAAGUCAUUUCUCACUCUGCCAUACUGGCUUGAUUAGGAAAAAAUGGCAAUUUUAAGUGAAACAGUUUAAAAAUUAAUGCAAUUAAAGUCAUAAAUAUGAUAUAGCAGUAUCGUUAUAAUAAUUUACUAAUAGUUAGGCUGUCUGUUAAACAUGAGAUUGCCCUAUGAGUAACAGCUCAGUCACACGGCUGACCUGAAGAAGAGAUCCUGGAGCUCUGAGCGCAGGAAGGGCGACUCCGUGUACCUGCAUAGCUCCCAUUGCCCAAAGAUCUCAAACCGCGCUCUGGACACUUGGCUAGCCUGCACUCGACCUGUCUGAAGUAGGGGGUUGCAGCCCCAGAUUUUACUGGUCAGGGGACAGAGCUGGGAGUGCCCUAAUGCCUCAUCCAGGGCCUGAAGCUCCAGGAACACUUCUCCCUUGGUGUUUGGUUUCAUAUGGCUCUGUCCUGCCAGGUGCUGCGGACAUCUCAUGGUCUUCGACUUUCCCUGUGGGACUGGGCCCCUGAUGGGUUAACUGAAUAGCUGUGCACAGAAGACAUUAAAGGACGAUGUAGUUUCACAUAAUUACUCGAGAUGCAUGUAUGAACAGGAGCCCAGAAAUGCCUCGGUAAAUUGUAUGUUGCACUGCAUUCUUACCCCCGGGUUUAUUCUUACACCCGCAGCCGGGAUCAAACCACAUUAACGAUGAGAAACGAUCCUUCAUGGCAAGGGCUGGUUUGCAAGAACUUGCAAGCGAACUUGGGAGCUCCUGAACCUUGCACUCCAUUCUCCUCUCACCCCAGAGGCAAUAUGCAGCAGUCAGGGGUGCCACUCCUGACUUGCCUCCAUGUCUGCGAGAGGGGGCUCAGGCCUCCUCCUUCCAUCUGUAACUGGGCCUCCAGACACUGCAAGCCACUGUAACUCUGUUGGCUUCCACGGAGUUACACCAGCUUUCCCUGGCCCACUCAGACUGACAUGCAGAAGAUGUAACACUGGCCACUCUGCAAGGCCUCUAUUCAGCAAGGCACGGAGGGUAUACUUACUGGGCAGGCAGAGGUCGGUCUCACUACCAAGGCACUACGCCUGGCCCACUCACUCCAAGCAUGGGGGCCCCAGCAAUGAGGUGGUGCGGACACUCAGGGGGUGUCCUGGCACCCGGGUUUCCAUCCUGCACAAGGGCAGGUCCUUGGGGCACGCUCGCCAUCCCUCCCUGGGGUUUGUGCGUGAGCAGCAGGAAGGCAGGACCGUCACCUCGCUGCCAAGGCGGAGAGCUCCGUCACUACGGCGUAGACAUACUUUGAGUGGGACUCGGCUUUGGGUGGAGGAUGUCAGCGAGACUCCUCGCAGACUUUAAUUCAAGCAUGUUCUUAAGUGCUUUGCUGGACUGAGACCUAAAGCACGGCCUCCUUAAUGGAGAGCAAGUGUCUUUUUGGUAGAUCUGGCUUUUGUGGGUUACGUUAUUUAAGUCUCCUAGAGACGUGCAACCAACAACCACACAGUGUAUGAUGUAAACAGCGGGGAGAAAGCAGCAUGUUCCUUUGGACCUCAGCUCAGUCCAAGCAUUUUCUUUUCCUGUCAUUUGUCUCCAUUAAAAGAGUAAAUAGGACAGGGAAGUGAGGAAGGAGCUGGAUGGCCUCAGUCCAGAAGAAGCAUGACUGCUCAAUAAAGUCAUCCCGAGGCAGCUGACUUGGCUGUCAAACAGAGACACGGUUCUUAGCAAAAAUGCAUGAGAAAGAUCUUGCCCCUUUCUUGGCUCAAGCGGGUCAUACCUGAAGCGAGCACACAUUCGAGCGGCGUCAAUGAACUUUGUGGCUUCUAACUAGAGCUGUUCAGAGGAUGGGAGGGUGGGGCAGGGCAGGGCCGUCACCAAAAACAUACCAACAGAGACUUCAAAAGAAAAAAGGCCUUCACUGAAAACUUUCCACAAAGAGAACAGAGUUGUAAUAGAAACCUUGAAAAAUGAAAACUUUCAGCCAAGAUCAAAAGUGCCAGGCAGGAAAAGUCAACGCAAAGUAAUUUUGCCUCAGGUCAGGUCAACCCCCACUGAAAUCUUCCCGGGCAGCUGAGCAGUAGACGCCGUCCUCGCGUGCUGCCGCGCUCGCUGGGGGCCCCGAGCCCCGUCUCUCUUCCACGGGCAUGUCGACGGGGCACGCUGGGACCAGCACAGAGGUCAGUAAGAACAGAGGCCGUUAAGGGACAGCUGCAAAGCCAAGGGCACCCAACAGAACUGCCUGCCGUCCCAAUCUUGUUUCACGCACCAGGGAUCUGGGACCCUAUUAAAAGCCAGUCAAGACUCAUCUCCCUUUUCCCCAGUCAUUGAGAUUGUGUUCAAGUAAAUGCAUUUAAUCCAUAGCAAAUGUUUCCUGAUUCACCAGGUACAUGCAAAACUGGCGGGGCUCUUUAUUGAGGUGGGAUUUCGUUAUUAAAGGAAGCCAACUGCUGCUGAAAAAGGAAAAAACCCAACCCUUUUUCUUAAUUAAAAGAAAACCAUUGCAGCAAUUACCAGCCAGCUAGAUUGCUAUAAUACCCUCAGAGGCGUGCACAGGCCCCUUGCUGCUAGAGAUCAGUGCUGCAGGCAGGUUGUGCUGCCCGGAAGAGGGGACGGAGCAUUUAACCAGAGGUACCAGGCGGGGGGGAUGAGGAGGGGGACAUAGUCCUGGUGCCACGGACAAACUUGAAUCCACAGAUUUAGAUUCAACCUCCCUAAAUUCCCCUGCUUUUUGACAAGCAGCUCCUCUGUCCCACAGAGCCAAGUAGUGCAACUCUCAGGUACCGAGCCACCGCUGCGCUUCACCCCAGAAGUGACUGCAUUUCAGGCUUCGGUACUUGCUUUGCCCGGGUAAGGAUGGUGACGCUCAGGUUUCUUUCGUAAUACUCGCUACCGUGGGAUGUGACAGUCUUCCAGACUUAAGAGUUAUUCAAUAUUUCCUCUCCACUCCCUGCCUGAGAAGAGGAUGGGUCUAAAGGAAUGAUAAAUCUUUAUAGUUUAAGUACUUUAUAAGCUUAAAAUUGCCAUCAUUUGUUCCAAUGUAAUGUGCACAAAUAGCUUUCUGUGAAGUGGUGAGGUCAUCCAUUUAUUUAAAGUUAAUGUUGCUUGCUUUAUGUGCAAUAAUAUUUAUUGCUUUAUCUAGCCUUAUUUCCUGUAAUUUUUUUUUUUUUUAACAUUUCCCAUUUUUAGUCAUUCCUGGUCAAACAGAGAUGUUCCAUAUUUAUAUCUAGCUUAGGAUGAGCAGGAAAAAGGAAAAAAGCCUAAUAAUAUCCCAAACGACAACCUCAGAGGAGCGCUUAAGCAACUAGCCUGGUCUUAAUUACGCAAACAUCCCAAGUUCAAGUUUUAUUCAUCCCCUCUGAGAAACUAUUUUUGCCAAGAUAAAGCUCUGGAACGGCACUGCACUGCGCUGGCAUAACGCGCCCUGCAUCGAGCCUGAAACGAGCUUCCAAGAAGCAGCUGCUCCACUAUUUAUUCUCUCUUCCUAGAGGGGUUCCCCCCCCAAACUGCAUAAAAUUGUCAUAUGUUAAACCAGAAGCAACCGUUCCCCGUUAUCAUUCCCUGGGGCAGUGGCGUUUGCUUCUCAGCAUGUGCACUUGGGCUACGUGGAGGAGAAGGGCCCAUAUUCCCCACUGACACCAACAAGGAAGAGUUCAAGCAGGCAGAGGCAAUCAGGGGCCCCAGAAGCCGCGGUCCUGCAGCAUUCGACCUCCUGCCCCCUCCACGGGGCUGGGGCUGGACAGGCGAAACCAUCAGGCAACAGGGCAACUAUUUCUCCACUUUAAAAGCAGCAGGGAUUUCCUUGUGGAAAAAAGCAGGCUUUUUCUAUCUGCAUCAUCAUCUACAAAAUCCUACUUGGGGCUUUAACAAAGCCCUCCCUCGCGCAGGGGGACGGGGGAGCAGCGGCUGGAGCAGGGCCAGAGAAGCAAAGCUUCUGGAGGAAGCAUCCUGCCACCACGCAGAAGUGGAAGAGUGGCUCCAGAAGUAGAGCAAAAACGCUUGGCUGCCCUGAAUUUCCCCACGGAUCUAACAAGUCUCGUUCCCUGCCCGCUCCCGCGGGAGGUGGGCGCGGGCUGGACAGUCUAGAGGGAGCCCCAGAUACCGAGUUGGAGAGACCUUCCCCGCAGGCCAGCUUUGCUCAGAAUAAGCUUCGAACAAGGAAUGGAAGAGCGAGGCUGGACAGCUCGCACGUGAUAUGAGGCAGGGGAUCCCGGCCCCCUUAAACAAGGGGCAUUUAUUACAGGAAAUGGACCUCCAUGAGAAACCAGGCUUCUUCCACGCAGCUCGAGUUCCAGCUUUGUUCACCAGAAACGAGCCCCUGCGUGCAAGUCCGAACAGCACGGAGAGACAUCUAGUGGUUGAACGCCACGCUGCUCCCAAAACCACGACAGCAGCACUUGUCCGGCCUUCGGGCUUUCACUAAGUGCCACAAACCGGAAAAAAAGGCGUUGGCAAAACCAGGCGCAGCACAGCGCAGCGCGCGCUGAACGCAGCCCGAGCCCUUCCCAAGCCAGCGGCGCUCCCCCAGCUGCUGCGCAGGUCCUUGUGAGACUCUGUUAUAACCCACACCACUGUCCAAGCCUGAGGAAACCCAAAUGUCCCGCUCUUCACAGCGGUUAGAGCGCGGAUACACGCGUGACGCACGCAUAGCCCAUUCAGACAUUGCUAGACCCUCAGACCAGACAGGACCAUUAGGUAACCUAGACUCCGCCUGGAGAUCACAUGCUAGUACGUUUUACGCAUUUACCCCUCCAUUGAGUCAGGAGACCACAGAGAUCUCUUGGUUUCCUGUCUAAUCCAAAAGUUGCUCUGUAUAAUGAUCUUAUUACCGUUUAAAUGAAUCCCUCUUCCUUUUGGAGGAAGUGUCUUGUGGAUUUAUGCAAAUAUUUCUGCAAUGCACGUCAACACGGCAGAAAUACCCUUCAAUCAGCCUUCCAAAAAUACCACUCAUUUGCCUACUUGGCCCGAUGGGUAAGUAAAACUCUCAUCAUCCCCGGCCACUGGCGGUGACCUGAUUUUGUGUCUGACUUGGUUCAUUUUCAUGCUGCGGCAAGAGCGUCGCGGGUGCUCGAGCAGUCACCCGAAACAAAGCAGUCACCGCCUUUCAUAGCACUACCUUCAUUUACAUCAGCUAUUUGGCCCACUGUCGAUACGUGGAUUCACAAGGGAAGGAUCUGGUCUAGUCAGUCUGACUUUGCAUCAAAGGAGUUAAAAAAUGCACACGCACGUGACCUGAAUUAGCACUGCUACCACCCGACUGGAGAGGUGGUCCCUGGGUUAACUCGGAAGACCUGGGUUCAGGUUCCAGCCUUGCCACACACGGUCUGUGCAAGGCAGUAAAAGCCUUCCCGUUCCUCUCGCUCUAAUCAUGGGGAGAGAUGCAGCUCAUGACUUCUCUCUGCCUCCUGAGGUUAUUGCAAGACUCAACCCACGUGCGACUGUGAGGAGCUCAGUCGGCGGUGGUGGAAAGCAGCACAGAGCAAUCUCCGAUGAGCCGACCCACGCUUCACCUGCUUGCUAAACAUGCCACGAGUUCUGCCCCGCUCCGAAAUGGCUUCUGCCUCCUGCGUGUAGCUCGGGGGCUGUCGUCUCUCCAGACGCCUGGUACAUGCCACUCAGCAAGUGUAGCUUACUGAAGGGGCUGGCAUGUGAUUAGUGAAUUUAUGCACCAUUUACUUUAAUUGUUUGACCUCCAUGCAGUCAUAUUUCUUGGAGGGAACUGAAACAUUUCUUUCUUUCUUAUUAACUGUGCAAAUAAAGGAAGCCCUAAAGAGAUGCUCUUUGUAACCAGUAAUUACUGAGGAGUCAGAAAUUUGGCCAGACUCGAUAAUUGCUGUUGUUUCUUCAGGAGAAGGGGGGAAAAAUAAAGUUAGCAAGAAAAUCACCAACCCUACAAUUUAUUAAAUGAGUAAUUUCAUGUGUGUUAUGGCAUUUAAGCCAUGAAGAAGACAUCAAACUGGUCAAGGGAUCAAGUUUGCAUGCCUUGAUGUAUCUCAGUUUUUUGAAAAAUCUCCCUAAGAAGCAAUUUAACAUGAAGUCUGGCUCCAAAAGCAACUAGCCCUUUUGGAAAUCCCCAGAGGUCCGUGACCAGAGCUACGUGGCGGGGUGCGGCAUGCUUACUCUCCCAAUGUCAGCAAAAGUUGAAGAAAAAAAAUCACAUGCGGGCUGAAAGAGGGUGGCAGAGCCUGAUGCGGAGCCCGCCGAAACGGGACAGCACACGGGACGACUCGGUCCCCAACUCAGAUGUGGAAAGCAAAGGGCUGGAGAAAACAAAAGAGUGAAUCUUGUUUCGGGAUUUCCGAAGCACUGGAACGAUUUGUGGGAAGACUAACGCAUGCCGAACUGGGGACAGAGAGGGGGAGCCAGGGGGCUUUUAAAGUUGCACUCGCUCUAGACCAGAUUAAUAACACCUUUGCUUAAAAGAGAGGCAGAGGGAGGACGCUCUGCGAUGUUCAUGUUCUCGGGGCAGAUCACUGACCUGGAGACCCAAAGACGCUCCAGGGGCUUCCUGGUACAGCCCUGGCUUAGGGCAGCAAAGCGCUAGGGUUAAUCUCGCACAGAAAAAAUGCCUGUAAUUUUCACAGCUUCAAUUAGCUACCACUGCCACGGGUGUGAUCCAAGAACCUGCCUGGAAAGGACCGGGCUUCACUGAAAAUCUCUCCCAAGUCUUCCACUAAGCCAUGUGUGCGCUGUGGUAGGAAACCAGUAGGUUUUGGGUGGGCUCCCAGAGAACAGAGACAGGAUGCAUCCAGCUGAUAGUGAGGUGCACCACUAUCAGAUCAACACCUGUGUUUAAGGAGCUACCAAGUCAGGUGGAGAUAGGUCCUCAUUUCCUUCAUAGAGGACCUGUCCCGGUCCCAAACUUUUCCCUUUAUUUCUGUAAGCCAGCCUUGCUCCACUCAAGUCAAUACCAAGUAAUGAUCUUUACUCACAGAGUAGUCUGAAACGAAGCAGGACACAAACCUUCCCAAAGCCCUACAGACCCUGUCGCUCAACAACUUUCUAUACGACACGGCGCGUGUAACUGUGCAGUGAAGCCUGUAAUGAUCUUCGCACACCCUUUCAGGUACGCCAAGGCUCUUCCCAAUCAAGCGUGCACAACUCUACACCUGCCUGGCCCCUGCCCCCCAAACCUCUCAUUCCUCCUUUCCGUGACCAAACCUCAGAAAGCUGCAGGAGGGUUGUGGGGGUGUUGCAGAUAUUGGAGGUUCACCGUUCUACGGGUCCAGACAGAAACAUCAGCUAGAAAAAGUGAAAUGGUGCCUUCACAUAUUUUAACGAGCAAGCUCCUCGCAUGCAUCUUUCUAAAGAUUUGCAUCCGUCUUUUAAAAGACCUUUACACCGGCUUCUGAGUCUCUGCUGGCAUCAGGCUAGACCUUUUCCCUAGCUGCACAAGAAUGGCUAGAAACACCGGUGAAGCGCUGGCAUCCCCUGGUAAUGGGUGUGGUCCGAGACCCAGAUCGAUAUGAUAAGGUACCGAGGGCGUGGGGAGCUGUAAACCAGGCAUGCCUGCCCUACUAGAUACGAUGCAGGACAGCGUGGUACAGUAUGGAGGUUUUUCUGGGCCUCAGUUUGAGCUGGACAGAAAAGCCACAAGUGAGUUGUGUGCCAUACCAAGUGAUGGCUGUGAAAACCUUUAUCCUUCUCCUGCACAUAUCCGUGGGGGCCCGUGAACACUGCCUAGCGCUAGCGUGGUGCUGUGUGACCCGUCCCCGUAGUGCCAUGCCAGGCUCUCCACACUCACCCCAAUAUAAACCAGCAGUGAAGUAACCAGCCCAAACACAGCUGUAUUUACAAGCAUAAAGGAGGAUUUCCUCACUCUCCCAAACUGCCCCCUUUCUCGGACUUCCUCCUGGUCUUCUACAUCCCCGAGUCAGAGAGAAAACGACCCACCGAAUCCAGCUGCCGUACAGGGUCAGCAGGAUAGGCCUCACAGUCCCAUAGUCUGACCCAAGCUCCAGUACUUUGCUCCCUUGAAAACAAAAAGACUGUGGAAGGAAGGUGAGAUUAAUACCUUUUACAGACUUCUGAAAAUAGCUUCUCAGCAAACUGGGCUGCAUGUUCACACCCGAUGUGUAGAGCAACCAACGUGUGGGAACCCAAACCCAGGACGAUCCACAGAAAUGGGGCUUGCUAUGGACCUCCAGAGCUGGAAGUAAUCCAGCCAGGACUGGAAGGAUGGGGGUAACCACCAGGACGGUGCAGCAGGCAGGCUCAUUAGCGCACAUGGACCAAUGUGGCGUUUCAGCACGAUGCUGCCUGGCGCCUUCCUCAGCUGGCUGAGAUGCCUGCCAUGGCGAACAGGGAGCAGCUGCUUUGCCUGGCUUGUAAAGAUUCAGGACGAUAUUUUCCAAAUCGGAGAUGAAACUCACAGCUAAGGGACUCUGGGAAAUUUGGAGCCACCCUGGAGAACUGGCAGCGGUUGCUCACUUUGCCAACACACUGCCAUCUGUCAGGGAUACGCCCAGAUGUUACGGUCUAUCAGGGGAGGGGGCUCCCAUUUCUAGUCCUGACGGUUUGCAUGAAUUUGGAUCUUACUGGGCCAGGACUGUGUCUUGCUCUGCACGUCAGAUCAGCAUAAUCUGAGGGGGAAAGAGAGUUCCACAUUUGCAAGGAAAGGAGGAAAAUAAUUUAAGAAAGUUUGUGCAAAACUAAUAGCGGAGCUUGCUGGAAGCUUCUCAGAGGUUUGGAAAACAAGAAGUAGACCCAGCACAGGCGUAUUACUGGGUAGGGGACAGGGGAGGAAGCCCAAGGUGGAUCAGCACUACCAUUUUAUCAUGUAGCAAUUCCCAUCCUACAUAUAGUAGGAAGAGUUAUACCCAUCCCAAUUAAUCCUGUGUGCGCAUUGUGGACAUCUACCAGUACGACCAGCCCCAACACAGUUGUUUCAGGCAGAAAAUAAAGAAGGGCAUUUUCAGCUGACACUUUGAGAGGAAUGACAUGGAAGCAGACUACAGGUACCAGUGAUAAAACUUGCCCUUGACCUCUGUUGGGGGAGUCUGUGAUGGCCUCAAGGGGUUUGGACCUUGCUCACAUCCCAUGUAAAAGGCAACUCAACACUUGUUAACAAGACUAGUACCAGGACUGGACACCAGGAAAGAAACUCAGCAUAGUCUCACUUCCAACCCCUCGUGGGUUUGCCUUGGAUGUCUUCUACCCAAGAACCGACUAAACUUAGCCCCACUCGGCUGGUGAGAGCUGACCGUACCCCAGCCCACGACACAACGGCUGCUCGCAGGUUUGGAGGGUUAUUCAUUUCAGAGGAAGCAGCCAAUACAGUAGAAGAGGAACAUUUUAAAGGUGUGUCUAUACAACAGACCCCAGCCAUCACGCAUACAGGUCAGCAGCACAGACACAGCCCAUGGCCACAAAGCAGUACUCUGUUCCCAGACCUGGGGGCACUGGGGGAAAGAUUAUUCUGCAAGAGCUGAAGUCUGCGCUAAAAAGAUUUAUACUUUUCUUUUAAAAUGUAAGAAUUUAACUUUUGGACCCUCAGAAUCUGCUGGUAAGAGUUGCUGCGCUAUGUAUGACAAGUGCACGUGACAUCCGUGGAAGCUGCAAAAGACUGGCACAAAGUCAGACCCCGCUUAUGCAAACAGAAAUCAUGAUGCACUUACUCAUUCAUAACUAGUGAGCACUCAUGUCUGCCAGCAGUUUCAGUGGACAGGGAUCCAGAGCACAAUAUUAGUUCAUUCAUUAAGUAAUAAUGAAUAUAGUCCUUUGAAAAGGAAAAAAAAAAAUUGUUUCAAGCAAGAGGACAAGACCGUGAGAAAAUGCUUCAUUCUCAGCAGAUGCAGUUAUUAACAGCAAUGCGACGUGUGCAGUACAGGCAGCACGUGCGUAGGACUGGAGCAGGUCGACCGUGUGACAGAUCUACUGGAAACCCUGGGAGUGUCAGGGGAAAGAUUAUUCUGAGCCAAAAUUUAAGCUAAAAUGAUUUACAUUUUUUUUUAUGUUGAAUAAUUUAUGUUUUUAAUCCUAAUGCAUCAGUAAUGGGAAGGUGAACCAUGGAAAGAAAAGAAACCUAUUUCCUACAUUAAAGUGACAUCGGGGCUCCCCAGCCUCAUUCGGUAUGGCAGGAGGGAUGGCUCUUCAUUUUCUUCAGGUCCCAGAACAGUAGCCUGCUUGCCUGUCUACGUUGUUCUUUUGCUGGCGGGGAAAGCUCUCCGUUAAUCAGGUCUCCCAAGUGUAACUGUAAACACUGGAAACAGACUUCAUGCUUGGAGCAGUCUGAGCCCUGAUACCGCGAAUGCGGAAGGCUUUGAAAGUUUCCCACUCCAGCUCCUCCGAGCAGCGAUCGGAUCUCGCAGGCGCUGGCUGCAUUUCAUUUCCCCCUCGCUGGAGCAACCCCUAUGGAACGGCUUUGUCCCUCUUCAAGUUCCUUUUUCUGGGAGGAAGGAGUCAAACUUCCUCAGGUUUUCUUCACUAGGGCUCCUUGCUUUGAGAGGAAGGGUGAUCUUGUGAUCAAGGCACUCACUGGGGCUCAAUCCAGAGUUCUGGGUUCAAUCAAUUAAUCAAUGAUUAUUGAUUAUUUGCAUUAGAUUAGGGCACCACCUAGGAGCCUGCUCGUGGACCAGGACCCCGACAUAUUAGGUGUUGUAUAAAACAAUGCUGGCCCCUGCUCCAAAGAGGCUGCAUCCCAGUAUAAUACGAGGAACAACCACAGAUUCGAGGGUGGAAGACAGGAGCCUGCCGGUUCUAAUCCUGCUCCCACGCUGGUUUGCUGUGCAGCCUUGGCUAGUCAGUCACUGCCCGUGGGUUCAAUUCCUGCCCGCACCUGCACAGCCCUACUGAAGUCGCCUGCCAGGGCUGGACCCAUGUGCUUGCUGCUUUUAGCUCGGCCUCUCUCUGCAAAAGGGCCAUGACUGUUCUUAAUGAGAUAACAGACUUCUGAGGCUAUCUGGCCUUCAGCUUUCUCCAUGUAGUUGUAGUGACUUCAAGGCGGCUCCAGAGGUACCAGCAAUAACACCCGAUGUGUUUAAAGCCUCAGUCAAGGGCUACGCUUCACUGCAGCGUCUGAAACCUCCAGCUCAGCUGGAGUACGACUGAAGGGGCCAGGCUUGCUUUACUCUGUGCCUGGCUGAAUUGGCGCGCAAGGGUGUAACAUCACUCUAAGACAUGGGCGGGCAAUUAUUUUGGGCAGAGGGCUACUUACUGAGUUUUGGCAAGCCAUCGAGGGCCACAUGACAGGCAGCCAGGGGCAGAUUAGUAUUAAUUUUCUAAAUUUUUUAGGGGCCCCACAAGCUGGAUAGAAUGGCCUAGCGGCCGCAUUUUACCCACCCCUGCUCUAAGACAAUAAGGGAAAAGAGAGAGAGAGAGACUUAAAUUACACUGUUUCCUCCAAGGGAAGAUCAAAUUUGCACUCACGAGGCCCUGCAUGUAGCGAGACCAGGUUCGCUCAACUCUCAGCGAGGAGCUCACCCACAGAUGUUUGACCGUGGCUGCAGAAGGGAUCUGGGCACUGGGAAGUGGGUCCAACUCACUCCAGCCUUGUUCGCUGUCCUCUCUGUGAGCCAUCCCUAACACAACCCACCUCUCCCAACUUCUUGAAACGUUUGGCUGGUGGUUUGAAACCUUGAAGAUAUUCCUUCAAAAAUGACACGGAGGCUGAGACGGGAGGAGGUGUCAAGAAGACAAGAACAGCUGACUGCGCUGACGGCUCGAGGAACACAAGGAUGGAGCACUGGGUCCAAGAUCUGAUCCAAGCCAUGAAGAGUUUUAGCAAAAUAAAGAUUUGGAGGCAGAACCGAGGCAUUGCAGAGGGAGAUUCCUCCAACUGCAGGCAGUGCUCUGGGGUGUCAGCAAAAGAACUCCGACACGAGCAGCAACGUUCCCUGCCAGGGUUGCUCUGUGUCCACAUUUUCAAAGCCCACGGCCGCUCUUGUGACUGAUUGCGGGUGAAAGCAACAGACACCACCAAAACCUCGUGACACCACCAGUGACGCCUCACCCCAACCGCUCGGCGGGCGCUCCUUAGAUCAGCUGCUACGUUCUACCACUGCUUGUGCCUGCCACCGACUACGGGCGCAAAGCCAGGGCUCAGGCUGAGGUCCCUUGAAGACAGGCCUGCCAGUGAUUCAACACGCUGCCCUGACACUUCUGCUCGCAUCACAUAUGGGAUUUAAUCUGGUUAAGAGCCAACACGGGCCCCAGCUAUUGCACUCCCACCACAGCAUGCCAGCUGCACUGCAGCAGCCCGAUCCAAGCUGCAAGGGUCAGUGGGAUGCAGUGCAGGGCUCCAGACUGACCUGUUCUAGGAUUCAGGCUCAAAUUCCUAACCCCUCCCCUUCAAAUCCAGGGGGGUCAUGGUCUGCAGUUACGAUUUAGGCUCAUCGUGAGUUAAAAAGCUCGCUGAAGGACAGACCCAAAGUAAGCAAAUCCCAGGAAAAAGCUCUCUGCUCCAAAGGCUUGGCGAAGGGGGUAGAGGAAGACCAGACACAAGGGAGUGGUGCGUGCAGACAGAGCGUGCCUCUGUUUGAACACCAAGAAGAACAUUUGCUUGGGGAAUUUCUCUCCAUUUGAGAAGAUGAUGCCCAUGGCUUUCCCAGGACCCUGUUACAAAUGGCUGCUUCUUUCCAUACUAAGGAUGCUUUUCCUGUCAAACCAGAUCAACCCAAUCCCCACCAAGUGCUAUAUCCUGCCUCUAGCACUGCCUGCCUGCCGCUGCAAGAGAACAGACAGCACAAAGCAUCUUGCCAAUCAUGCAGGGCUGCAGAUGAAGGGGAGAACCGUCAUCGCCCUGCAGGAACGAGCUCCUGAUGUGAAUCGGGAGGUGUGGUCACACCGUGCGGAGCCAAGUGUGUUUAUUGGCAGUGACUUCAUCCAGCCCCUUUUACCAACCAACCGGCUAGAGGAUUUAACUCAAUGGUUCCCCUGUGGCCAUGAGCUCUAGCAGCUGAUCACACGCAGCGUAUAACAGGGCUCUGGUACUGGGAGCUGCCCAGCGGUGGGUUAGCUGUGAAAACCACAUCUGGUUUCAUGACUGACUGUGUCAUUUUACAUGCAAUACUUCCUCACCAUUUCGUGCGUGUGUGUGUGCGUGUGCAUGAAGAGGCACUUUUAUUUCUGGUUCAGUACAGACUGAAGGACAGUGAGGUACAACAUAUACGAAAAAGCACUUCUACAGAACAGAUUUCCAUCACGCCUCGAAACAGACCCCAAGCCUCUUCAGCCAAACUGAGAGCACGCUUAUGACCUUCCUGGUUGACAAACUCUGAACAAAUCUCUCUGGAAAAAGUCCCUCUCAGUCCCAGAGUUGGUGAUAAAAAGCCCCUGGGUUCUACAGCAAGCGGGGCUGUGUUGCACUGAUACGUAUUCAGGCCUUGGAUUAUACAGCAAGGAAACAGUACAUUUUUUGUGCAAUCAGCCCCUUGCAAGCGCUCUAUAGCUGUGCCCUGACAGAAGUGUGCGGCUGCAGAGCGCUUUAAAAGUGAACAUCAGGAGACCUGGCUUCUAGUCCCGACUAACUCACUGCGUGACUUUGGGCUGGCACUCGGCUAAUUUGGACCUGCUUCCAUCCCCACUUUGGGCUGCUGGGUCUCUUUAGAUGACGUGAUUGUGAGGCUGGGCUUGUGUUUUGGGGUAUACUUACAGUGUCUAGCACCAUGGGCGCCCAGUUCCAGUUAGGGGAGUAUUGCAAUAGGAAUAAUUAUGGUAUUUGUUGCUUUUUAAAAAGUUUUAAAUUGCAUCACUUCGGUGUUUAUUUUUCCAAAUAAAUCCUACAUCAAACUGGCUAGGGGGUAACACUAAGCACCUCAGUCCUUGUCCCCAAAAUAAAAUAAAAAAGAAUCGAAGACAAACUAGACCACAUAAAACCAAGCUGCAUGGAUCUCAGCAGCUUGUUACACCGUGUGCCUGCCUGGCCUUCCUUCAAGCCGAGCAGAUGGCAUAACAACAGCCGCAACAGAAAAAUUUUAAAGCAUAUUUAGAAGGCUCAGACCAUUUCCCUUUCAUUUUGGACACCAACAGCUUUAGUAGAGUGAACAAACUGCUUUAUGGUCCAUGGGGGUAGCACUGAGUGAUCUACACUAAAGGAGAGGAAGACUUGAGCAAAGGACUUCAGUGAAAUACCAAGCAGACAGUAUAAGGCAGCCCCACGUUCCUAAGAAGCAGGAAAACGGCUUCAUCCGUUAACACGAGAGAAGCAAAACACAUACGGUGUCUGUACAGCACCUAGCACGAAGGAGCUCCACCCAGAGAUCCUCAGUACCACCACAAUGCAAUCAUUCUGCCACCUGCCUACCUGAGCGUGCCAACAGUCAGGGAGGCAGCCAGGCGAAAUUUUAAGGCCCAAACAAUGUGGAUCCCAAACUGGGGCAGCCACAUUCACUUCAGAGAUGCCAUCAGCUCAGCUCUGUGCAAGCGAUAGGUCAAAACAAAGCCCGAGAACUUUCUAUCCUCCAGCUGCAGUUGUAGACCAUCCCCCUUUGCAGCGCUUGCCAGCCGCACGCAGCAGCACCGAGAACCUGAAAGCAAAACUAACUACAAACUAAAGAGGGUAACUACAGGCUUCAAGACCGUACCAUGGGCUGCAGUGAGAGACAUGCAAAAAGAAGAAAUGAACAGAGCGGAGGAAACUUGACUUGUAAGUCCCUUUUCAUUUUAAUAAUCUAAGAAACCCCAGCUAAGGAAAUGGGCUUCUUUAUAACGAGGCCAACUCCUGAGAAGUGCUGAGAGCCACUGGCUUCAAUUAGAUCUGCAGGUGCUCUGCACACCUCAGGGUUUGAACCAAUGCUGCUUUUUUAAGCCAAUGGCAUUUUCCCAAGUGCCAUCUGGGAUGGAAGAGCAAAACCAGGCUGCAGUGAGCGUGUUACUAGCACUGCGGGAGUGAGCAAAGAGAAGGGUAGACACAAGCAGCAUUCAACACACACACGGUGUGGGCACAUCACACACAGUGUUUCCAAGAAACCCCGUACACACUGCAAAUCACACGGUGUUACAAGCGCUCUAAAAACAUGCCAGCGUCAUAGAAUUAACACAGACGUAUCACAAUAAAAAGCCACUUCUUCAUGACACCCCCCCAGAGCAACACGCGGUACGGUCAGCUUUGCUGGGCCCAUGCUCUGCUACUGGCCAGUUCCAAAUAAAAUACAUAACUUACUUCUUGGUUCCCGGGGUCCAUCCACAGUCACUUUAAUAGCUCGGUGAUAGGUGGCAACUUGCGUGGGGUUUGUGAACACGGUGAUGGUCAGCGUAAAGCUUUUCCCUAAGGGGAGGGUUGGGGGGAAAAGAGGAGAGAAAAUAUAUGUAAGUUCAUUUCUUGAGCAGGCAGAUAGGCCUCGAGUUGCGCACUGCUACUGCUGGGAGCUUUGGCACUGACACCAGUACAAGCAAGAUCAGGCUCAAAUUUAGUAAGUUUUUGGAAAACCACUAAAAUAGCUGCACAAAAGAAAGUAAGGGAGCAUGUGAGAUACAUUUGUGUGUGCUACAAUUUAUGAGGCAUCACUUGGUGCUGGCAGAGAAGGGGCCAGUAGCAAAGUUCCUGCUAAUUGUAACGAGAAGAGGACUGGGAUUACUUCAGUGUGAACGGCUGAGCCUGUCCUGACACAGUACAAUGGCUGUAGCUGUCUCCCCACCAACACCCCCCUGCACCUCAAACAGCUCCCUUGCUCCUCGUGCAGAGAAGCUGUCCCCUCCCUCUACACUCAGUGCUUUAAGCUGGCUUCCCACUGGAUCUCUUCACUUCCCAACCCCUGGUCCCCAAGGGCCUGAUUCUGCAACCGCUAGUCUAGUAGCACUUCUUCAGUCCUAACGAGUGCUUGCAUGAGCUUCUCUGCAAGAGUAAUGUUUGCAACUGAUGGGAAAGGCAACCCUUCCUGUAGUCACCGCUGUGAUUGUAGCAUAGUGCAGUCAAAUCCAAGCUAACUCAGGUACGGAUAGCAGUCUGACCACGAUAACGCAGAGUUCAUCAGCCUGGCCCCUGCUGAUCCCUGUCCACAGCAACUAGCCGGCUAUCCAUACCCAUGCUAGCUCGCUCAGGUGUGCCUACACCAUAGUGCUGUCACAGCAAUAACUGCAGUGCAGACAGGCAGAUGGACACCAGCAGACACACACACAAAAAUAAUAAAGUGAAAUGCAAAAGAGAAAGGAGAAAGUGAAGCCCCGAUCCUGCAAGCACCUGCUACCAAAAGGAACAAUUCCCACCAUGUACGGUAUAUGUGGUUUUGCUGACUGCAACGGGACUGCUCCUCACUUGUACGAACUUGACUGGUAAAGCCAUUAUUGGACUUUAUCAUCAGAAAAAGUCCUUGUUUCCUUCCAGCUGUUCUCCACCCUCUCUGCUCCUUAUGUUAUUGGUGUUCUUCGCUAUGUAUUUCUGGAGACAGCUGAAUCUUGGCCCUGAAGUGCCCCAGACUUUGGAGGUAAAUAUAAAAAGAAAGCAGGAUCCAGACCACCACUACUUUCGGUUUUGCAAAGGCAAAAGCAGAGCAGCAAGAGGUUGACGGUCUCUCUGCUGCCUUAUUCAGAUGAUGGGCUCUGACCCAUUUCCUCACUUGCCUAAGCAGCACCUUACGGUACUGGGAGACAGGAAUGAAAAUACUGUAUCAGGACACCGUCUGAUAAGAAAAAAAGCUUUAUAUCAUUAACACUAGGGUGGGGUUUUAAAUCACCUUGUUCAAGUUAGCAGCGCUCUGUCUGUAAGAGAGGGAUACCUUCCUGAAAUGGCUUGAGAAAAUUCCCUGUUCUCAUCAGUAUUGUGAUAGUGCUUUGCACUAAUGCAGCACAUCUUCAACUACAGAAUGAAAAUGCUUUGUGGAGGUGUGUGCCACUGCUCUCUCCAUCUUACAGAUAGGGAAGCAGAGGCACAGAGAAGCUAUGUGGCUUGCCCAAGACCACAUGGUGGCUCAGCAGCAGAGACAGGAGUGGAAAUUAGCUCUCCAGAUGCCCAUAUAUACCACUGUUCUCACCAAGACACAGUGCUUCCUUUUAGUCCCAACAACAGAACCCGAAGGGCAGCUCCUCAGCUGAUGUGAAUGGACACAACCACAAUAGUCUACCCCAGCUGAAGACCUACCUCCAAGAAUCUUGCCCUCCACCUGCUUUCUAACCCCGCAACCAGGGGUGGCCAGGCUGCUGCGGAAGUGGCACAGGCAGACUGCAUGUAGGACACGUGGCAGAUGGGGGCAGCGGCAGAUAGGGCAGAAAGUAGAGCCUCAGAUUCAGGGAGCACAGGGGAGGGAGCAGAGAGCAGGUAGGGAAAGGGGAUCCAAGCAGCACGCUGAGAGAGCGUGGAGUAAAUUUGUGGCACACCUGCCAAAAAGGUUGGCCCGUGCUGCGCUAGAUCAUACCUCCCUCUGGGAGCUCGGAGCAGAACCCAAGAUCUCCUAGCGCUAUACUCCAACUCCUAGACCACUCGAUCCUCUCCGGGGUUGAAACACAACCCUGAUCCCUGGCCCUGUGCUCCAGUCACUGCAUCACAGCUGACCUUCAUGAAUGGACUGCACCCAUCACUAGUGGAGGUUCAUUGAUGUUAUCACCAGACUCGCUGUCUAGCCAACAUGCAGGAUUUAACAAUGCCAUUUUAUAAUGGAUCCUAUUCUUGCCAGCUUUCAGGACUGUUUACAUUAGGAACCUGUAGCUUUCCCCUUGACUACAGCCACAAAGAGCUAUUGCGACCAUUUAGCGUCUCGAGACAGCGAUGUGCAACACAGCAAGUUUCAUUAUCUUCCUGGAACAGAAAUCUCUAUCAACAAGUUGGACAGGUGGGUGUAUAAGACCAAAACCAUAUUAUCAACCAUCACAGAGCGUGCAGGAUGUGUGGGAUUUUCAAGAAGCAUCUGGUGACACAGAGACACAAGCCCCAACAAAAGUCACCUAGGUUUCUAAGUCACUGAGGACUAGGUCGUUUGGGAUUUCAACGGGAGUUUAGGCACUUCAGUAGGAGUUGGGCAGGUAAAACCCCUUUUGGAUCUGGCCCUUCUGAAGGUAUCCUGCUUUUCCCAGUGCCACUCCAGGCACGAAUGUUAUCAAAUCUCUGAGCAGCAAAACAUUUGUCUGCACCUAUCUGAAUUUAUCAUCACGUUCAGGUUUCCGUGAUCACCCACCCAAGAGCUUGAAGUCCCCUGACCAGGGACAAAAGCGAAUAUUAAAAUUAAAUUAUUUAUUCCUACAAAAAAUUAAAUGAAAAAACAUGGAUUUUCUCCAAAUAGGACAUCCCAUAAUUACUCUAGCAAAUUAGUUUCCUUGCGAGAUUAUUGUGGAAAUGACUGAUUUGAAGUGGGUACUGACAAAAAAGUGAAAAGAUGAAAUUCACGUCUGGGGAAAAAAAAUUGUGGCAAAACUGUAUCUGGGCUUCAAAGUAAGACUUAAAUGGUACAUGUGCCUUGCACUGAUUUUCCACAUAAGAGUGAAUUUUUAAGUCGUAAAUACAAGGAUUUGUACUGACAACCCUUAUUUAAGAGUUGCACUCCUCCAGACUGGGAGACAAAAAAAUCAACCAUACGAGCUCUGCAUCCAAUUAAAAAUAACCAGCAUAGCGAGAAUGUCCAGUUCUCAAUUAAGCCCUUUACAGAUCAGGAAUUAGUAAAAGAAUUAUUCAAGGAACAAGUUCAAAUAUAGGGAAUGACAUUUGUUUGUCUGCAGCUCAGAGUGGAGAACAGAAAUUUUCCAGGAAAAUCAUUUUUAAUGAGGUGCAACACAAAUACAAGCAUAAUAUUUUUCAGAUUAUCAGCCUAGCCUGAUGCCUCAAAUGAAGGCUUGGGAAAUAAAAAUCUGGGAUUGUACUUCCAGCUCUGCCACUUCCUACCCCCCUCAAUUUGGCAAAUGGCUCUAAGUUCUCUGCAUUCAACUUUAAAAAAUCCAGAUAACGACCAAAAGAAAACCUGCCGCCUUCACUGUGGGGUAUGAUCUUCAGCAGGAAUAAACUGAGAGCAGCAUUUAGAAAUGCUGGGAUACAGCAGCAUACAGCUCAUUCCCAUCCUUCUCCAGGGACAAUAAAAGCAAGUUUAUGACAGCAGUCAUUCUGGGACGUGAAUCUGCACAGAAAACCUCGAAUCAAGUUCCAAGCUUCCUCUGCUAAUUACGAGACAGCCUCCACAGAUCGUGCUCCAUAAAGAGUCCCGCGAUUUCCGUGGUAUGCUCCCAGUGCAAGAUGCUGUACAGAAGGACUCAACCUUUUUCUGAACCUCAGCUCUGCCUCUGCCCAAAGGGGCUAGUGACAGCUUCUCUCUCGCACUCUCUUGUCUGUGUAGCCUGUGGGCCUCUCCAAGCCCGUCUCCCCCAUGCCACUCAAAACAGAGGCCCUAGUCUUACAUUAAUCCAAGCGCUACUUAAAGCAAGAGAGUAAUAAUGAUGCCACAAAUUAACCCAUAUUAACAGACUGCUUCAAAUGAGAGCUUGGAGUUGAUACAAGCUCAGGAUGUUUACACAGACAGUUCAUGCUUCCCUGUGCCUCCACAUUUAUAUAUCAAUUUGACAGCAGAUACGGAAACAUGUACAUGAAGAUCCCACUCCCUCUAAAUACCAAAGUCACUCCAGACUUCUGUUGGAGCAAGUAAGAGUGGAAAUUGGUCCUUUUGGGGAGUUGAAAAGAUCCAACAGCUGAAUCCAGUGCAUGCACUAACCAGUAACUAGGCAGAAAUGUGUUUUGUCCCCAGGUGCUGAGCUCUUGUUCCAGAGCUGCCUGCCUCCCCGCAAACGCACACCAGGUGUAAGCACUUCACCAAGCACCUGGCUAAAAUGAAGGUGACCCUGCAGAGAACUGGAGCAUCCGCCUAGGUACAGUCCAUUCACCGCAGGUGCCCAUGAACUCCACUGAUAACAGCAAUAUAUAUCAUCUAGCUCUUCUGGUCCUCAUACACAUUCUGUAUAGCAACAUUACUUGAGAUGGAGGGAUUGUGUCUCUUCAGGCUGGAUCCUGCAUUUCUGCUCUGACAGCCAUCUGCACCAACCCCCACCCCUGAAUUCAGGAGCUCAGGCUGUCCUCAUUAUAAAAGACAAAACAAACAUUUUAGGAUCCAGGUUUGACACGGGCACGUGCAUUUGUUCGUUCACAUAAGGCCUAAUCCGAAGCCUAAUAAAGCCAAAGGAAAGGAUUUGGGGUGUUUUUUUUUAAUUUUUCCAUUGCUUGUAAUGAGCUUUGAUCAAGCCCAUGGUGGAGAAGGGAAACUAUACACCUAAAUGCUUUCAAGAGACUGUAAACUACUGUUGCUGCAGAGCAUGAAGAUAGUAUUCCAGUGGAGGAAAGCUAAUAAUGAGUUCAAGAAUCAGGCUGAGAUUGGGUUGCAUUCAGUUUGGAAAUUUGUGUGUGAGGAUGAAAAAAAAAAAAAAAAAAAGGGG
Long non-coding RNA from Alligator mississippiensis (American alligator), 21330 nucleotides. RefSeq lists it as uncharacterized. The record is from RefSeq and is a predicted model, not a curated record. The transcript is spliced from 2 exons. NCBI's taxonomy places the organism in Eukaryota, Metazoa, Chordata, Crocodylia, Alligatoridae.